This 128-nucleotide small RNA is filed under the name Priestia megaterium. RNAcentral's name for it is "L20_leader". Lineage: Bacteria; Bacillati; Bacillota; Bacilli; Caryophanales; Bacillaceae. The record is from RNAcentral.
AAGAAAAAGCCGAAACCAGUGUGGUUUCGGCUUUUUUGUAAGAUCCGCUAAAAAAGAAAUGAUAAAGUAAAUAAAAAACCAUCAUUAAAAAAGCGAGCAGAUGCAUCUGCUCGCUUUUGUUCGUGUUU